UUUUGGUCACAAGCAAAUUCCUCUCAAGAAGGGGACCUUUGAACAGUAACAAUGUCUUUUUCUUUCUAUUUUUCUUUUGAACCGCCUAGAUUAGAACAUGGAAAAAAAGGUCUCGAGAUCCGUGAAACGGCCGAGAGGUACAGCUAGUUUCUUAACGCCCGUCAGCUACCCAUCCGCUUUAUAUUCAAAAUGUUGGAGAGAUUGCUUAAAUAAGUUUUCUUCCUGGGCUGCUUUUCUCCACACAGCAGUGUUUCCCUAAAAACUGCAAACAAGGGAAGAAAAUCUCUUUGUAAGGCAAGUGCAUGAAUACAGAAAAAGUAUUUCGAGUAUUUAACUGAGCAACUGAAAGAGAAAAAAAAUGGAUUGAGGAACCAUUUGAGAAUAUGUUGCUGUUUCCUAAAGAGGAACAAAAAAUAUAACCUCUGGGAUGAUGAUGAAUGAAGCAGAGAGAAAGAUUUCCUGUUCAUUUUUAAUUUUGGCCAGUUUUGGAUUUGCUCUAACUGCGCCCACUGUGUACCUUCCAAUAAUUUUACUCUAGUGGACUGCAAUAUGAACCAUGAAAUGUUGUCCACUCUUCACUUAGAAAACCAUUUUAGCUCCUAAAAAUCAGAUUUCUUGUUUGAUAUUGUUACUCUCAACAGAUAAACUCAAUAGAUCAACAGAUAGAGCAUCUCUUGUUGGUUUUUCUUAUUUAGACAGAGACAGUAUGGCUUCAGUACCCAUUUAUAGCUAUCCUCCAAAUUAGCUUACUGGAAUCCAUUACAUGUGGCAGCCUCUGAUGACUGUCUGCCCACUUCAGUUAGUUCGGAAUACAGCUAGUUAGCUUUUUGGUAUACAAUAAUCAGUACCCUUCACAAGUAGGACAACAUUCUCACUCAUUAUCAGUCUAUUUGUAAUAGACAUAGCUGUAUGUAUAAUCUUUUAUAAGAUGGUAAUGCAGUGAUUAGAAUGCAGUAUUACAGGCUAAUUCUGCCAACUGCCUGAAG
This is a long non-coding RNA of Thamnophis elegans (Western terrestrial garter snake), 986 nucleotides long. RefSeq lists it as uncharacterized. The transcript is spliced from 3 exons. Lineage: Eukaryota; Metazoa; Chordata; Lepidosauria; Squamata; Natricidae. The record is from RefSeq and is a predicted model, not a curated record.